This 462-nucleotide long non-coding RNA is filed under the name Homo sapiens (human). RNAcentral's name for it is "non-protein coding lnc-HEATR6-1:1". Lineage: Eukaryota; Metazoa; Chordata; Mammalia; Primates; Hominidae. The record is from RNAcentral.
CUCAGAAAUGAAGUUGGAUGAGAUGAAGCAGAGCUUUAUCUCAAGAAAAUUACAUAGCUCCUAUAGGCAAAGACCAUCACAUCUGCCUAGGUAUCCAGCAACAGAAUCAGACCAAGGCAGUGGGAGACUGAGGCCACCUCUCUACCACCAGCAGCCUUCCAACAGCAACAUGAAGUUGGCAGCCUUCCUCCUCCUGUGAUCCUCAUCAUCUUCAGCCUAGAGGUACAAGAGCUUCAGGCUGCAGGAGACCGGCUUUUGGAUGAAGAGUUAUCUUAAGGAUCAUCUUUCCCUAAGAUCGUCAUCCCUUCCUGGAGUUCCUAUCUUCCAAGAUGUGACUGUCUGGAGUUCCUUGACUAGGAAGAUGGAUGAAAACAGCAAGCCUGUGGAUGGAGACUACAGGGGAUAUGGGAGGCAGGGAAGAGGGGUUGUUUCUUUUAAUAAAUCAUCAUUGUUAAAAGCACU